This 253-nucleotide ribosomal RNA is filed under the name uncultured bacterium. RNAcentral describes it as "partial 16S ribosomal RNA". It matches the Rfam family "Bacterial small subunit ribosomal RNA", at positions 524 to 776 of the family's 1533-position model. The record is from RNAcentral.
UACGUAGGGUGCGAGCGUUGUCCGGAAUUAUUGGGCGUAAAGAGCUCGUAGGCGGUUUGUCGCGUCGGCCGUGAAAACUUGGGGCUUAACUCCAAGCUUGCGGUCGAUACGGGCAGACUUGAGUUCGGCAGGGGAGACUGGAAUUCCUGGUGUAGCGGUGAAAUGCGCAGAUAUCAGGAGGAACACCGACGGCGUAGGCAGCGCCCUAGACGAGACCUGACGCUCAGGCACGAAAGCGCGGGGAGCGGACAGG